Molecule: long non-coding RNA, 626 nt
Organism: Zophobas morio
Lineage: Eukaryota; Metazoa; Arthropoda; Insecta; Coleoptera; Tenebrionidae
Exons: 2
Source: RefSeq, a predicted model, not a curated record
ACAGACGUUCUAGAAUCUACUGAUUAUUUAUAAAAAAAAAGUAUAAUCAAGUUAUACGUAGAAACUUCGAUCUAAAUACAAUACACUUUAAUUAGGGGAAAUACGGUUUUUGAAAGUGCGCUUAUAAAGUUAUGACUCAUCACCUAAAGUUGCACAAGAUUUGAUAACUGGUUGUAAAAAUUAAAAUAUUGUUGGAGAAAAUUACAAUAAUAAAAGUUAUCACAGAAAUGUGAACUAUGAUUAUCAAAAAUACAAACCGCUCUGUAAGGCCAUCCUUGACAUGAAGAGGUAGUUUCGAAGCACGUGUAUUCGGGUACAUAAAUGGGGCAUCUGUUUCUACUAAAAGUCUAUCUAAUGGUAUAGAUCCAUCCACCAACAGCUUCCGCACGCCAAUAUCAGAUUUGUCUUUACACAAGUAACCUAGAGAAGAAAACAUAAACAAACAAUUAUGCUAGAUUUUGGUCGAAAACCUGUUAAUCCUAUGUAAAAUCCUCUAGAAAGAUAUGUUAGCGCCUGCUCAGCUGUGCCUGUAAAGCAGUGUAUAAGAACAGGGGGUAAUUGACCUUUGUACUGAUCUAAAAUUUCUAAUAAAUCUUCAUGAGCAUCACGUUCAUGAACAAACAAUG